GGCAAGCAACACAACACAAGAACGGCUGGGGAAGAUAGCAGCGGGCUGGAGCGGUUUUGGAGAGAACGGGAUGAGAGUGCAGCAGAUAUUGGAAGGAGAAGGAGAGACCGACAUCCAAAGCAGCUGUUACAGUGACUAUAGGUGGCCCGCCACCAAAAAAUGCCAUCACCCAGAGUACUGCAGCACAUCACAGGUGUCGGGCAGAGUUCAGAGCUGUACCCGCUCAUUAACAGGAGGAGCUGCACACACUGCUGCUCAAAUGGGAAAAAGGGUUUGCAAAACAUGAUGAGGAUUUUGUGCGGAUGGACCUGGUACAGCACCCUAUCCAGCCUGGCGAUACAGCACCCAACAGGGAGAGGAUCAAAGACACUCUUACUGGCCUGACCUGAGCGGAGUGGUUUUCUACCCUUGGCCUGGCUAGCAGCUACUGGCAGGUCAAGAUGGAUCCCCAAGACAGAGAAAACUGCCUUUACCACACCACUGGUCCUUACUGAUGACUUGGGUGAUAUUGUCAUCCACUCACCUGAUUACUCCUGUCACCUGCAGCAUUUAGAUAUAAGGUGUUCAAAAAGCUGUGGCAGCAUGGGUUGAAACUGCAGCUGCUAGGUGAAGUUCUUGGGCAUGUGCUGGACCAGAAUAAGACAUUGCUUUUAACCAAUACGGCAUGAGAGUGUAGCCACACAAACCAAUGCUGUGGCUGGGAGGAGGGAACAGACCUCCAUUACAAGGAAACAAAGACAGAGGCAAGCAACACAACACAAGAAUGACUGGAGAAGACGUCAGUGGGCUGGAGCGGUAUAAGAAAGAACAGGGUGAGAGUGCAACAGAUAAUGGAAGGAGAAAUGGG
Long non-coding RNA from Xiphias gladius (swordfish), 847 nucleotides. RefSeq lists it as uncharacterized. The record is from RefSeq and is a predicted model, not a curated record. The transcript has 4 exons. Lineage: Eukaryota; Metazoa; Chordata; Actinopteri; Istiophoriformes; Xiphiidae.